Molecule: ribosomal RNA, 495 nt
Filed under: uncultured bacterium
Lineage: Bacteria
Description: partial 16S ribosomal RNA
Rfam family: Bacterial small subunit ribosomal RNA
Source: RNAcentral
GAUGAACGCUGGCGGCGUGCCUAAUACAUGCAAGUAGAACGCUGAAGGAGGAGCUUGCUCUUCUGGAUGAGUUGCGAACGGGUGAGUAACGCGUAGGUAACCUGCCUGGUAGCGGGGGAUAACUAUUGGAACCGAUAGCUAAUACCGCCUGACAACAGUUAUUGCAUGAUAACUGUUUAAAAGGGGCAGCUGCUCCACUACCAGCUGGACCUGCGUUGUAUUAGCUAGUUGGGGAGGUAACGGCUCACCAAGGCGACGAUACAUAGCCGACCUGAGAGGGUGAUCGGCAACACUGGGACUGAGACACGGCCCAGACUCCUACGGGAGGCAGCAGUAGGGAAUCUUCGGCAAUGGACGGAAGUCUGACCGAGCAACGCCGCGUGAGUGAAGAAGGUUUUCGGAUCGUAAAGCUCUGUUGUAAGAGAAGAACGAGUGUGAGAGUGGAAAGUUCACACUGUGACGGUAUCUUACCAGAAAGGGACGGCUAACUACGUG